Long non-coding RNA from Oncorhynchus keta (chum salmon), 1195 nucleotides. RefSeq lists it as uncharacterized. The transcript has 4 exons. The record is from RefSeq and is a predicted model, not a curated record. Lineage: Eukaryota; Metazoa; Chordata; Actinopteri; Salmoniformes; Salmonidae.
ACACCACACACACACACCACACACACACACAAUAAUCCUCUUUGAGGUUGAAUAUCGUACCAUCAUAUCUUGCCUUAUCUGUUAUCCCACACACUCAAGAGUUUAAUUUAUUAUCCACCAGACAUUCAUGAGUAAAAACUUUAUCAGCGAGAACUUCAUUCAGCCACUCAGAAGAGUAGAGGUGAUGAGUACAGUGAUAGAGAGAUGGGUGAAGGUAGGAGGAUAGAGAUGUGAGAGUGGGGAUAGAGGGAUGGCUGAAGGUAGAUUGAUAGAGAUGUGAGAGUGGGGAUAGAGGGAUGGCUGAAGGUAGAUUGAUAGAGAUGUGAGAGUGGGGAUAGAGGGAUGGCUGAAGGUAGAUUGAUAGAGAUGUGAGAGUGGGGAUAGAGGGAUGGCUGAAGGUAGAUUGAUAGAGAUGUGAGAGUGGGGAUAGAGGGAUGGCUGAAGGUAGAUUGAUAGAGAUGUGAGAGUGGGGAUAGAGGGAUGGCUGAAGGUAGAUUGAUAGAGAUGUGAGAGUGGGGAUAGAGGGAUGGCUGAAGGUAGAUUGAUAGAGAUGUGAGAGUGGGGAUAGAGGGAUGGCUGAAGGUAGAUUGAUAGAGAUGUGAGAGUGGGGAUAGAGGGAUGGCUGAAGGUAGAUUGAUAGAGAUGUGAGAGUGGGUAUAGAGGGAUGGGUGAAGGUAGGAGGAUAGAGAUGUGAGAGUGGGGAUCGAGGGAUGGCUAAAGGAAGGAGGAUAGAGAUGUGAGAGUGGGGAUAGAGGGAUGGCUCAAAAUAGGAGGAUAAAGAUGAGAGAGUGGGGAUAGAGGGAUGGGUGAAGGUAGAUUGAUAGAGAUGUGAGAGUGGGGAUAGAGGGAUGGCUGAAGGUAGAUUGAUAGAGAUGUGAGAGUGGGGAUAGAGGGAUGGAGGGAUGGCUGGUAGAAGGAUAGAGAUGUGAGAGUGGGGAUAGAGGGAUAGAGGGAUGGCUGGUAGAAGGAUAGAGAUGUGAGAGUGGGGAUAGAGGGAUGGCUGGUAGAAGGAUAGAGAUGUGAGAGUGGGGAUAGAGGGAUGGCUGGUAGAAGGAUAGAGAUGUGAGAGUGGGGAUAGAGGGAUGGCUGGUAGAAGGAUAGAGAUGUGAGAGUGGGGAUAGUUGAAGGUGGAAGGAUAGAGAUGUGAGAGUGGGGAUAGAGGGAUAGCGUUUAGCAGAGCCUCUGUUAAUAGGCU